GACGAACGCUGGCGGCGUGCUUAACACAUGCAAGUCGAACGGUUCUCGAAGUUCGAGGUUGGAUGUUCGAAGUUCGAAAAAGAAGGAAUUGGCCGGAGGCCCAAAUUCAACGAACAUCGAAUCUCGAAUGUCGAACCUCGAACUUCGAGGGUAGUGGCGAACGGGUGAGUAACGCGUGGAUAACCUGCCCGUUAAACCGGGAUAACGCCGGGAAACUGGUGCUAAUACCGGAUACGCUCAAUUUGCCACAUGGUAGAUUGAGGAAAGGGGAGACCCGUUAACGGAUGGGUCCGCGUCCCAUUAGCUAGUUGGUGGGGUAACGGCCCACCAAGGCGACGAUGGGUAGCCGGCCUGAGAGGGCGACCGGCCACACUGGAACUGAGACACGGUCCAGACUCCUACGGGAGGCAGCAGUGGGGAAUCUUCCGCAAUGGGCGCAAGCCUGACGGAGCAACGCCGCGUGAGCGAAGAAGGCCUUCGGGUUGUAAAGCUCUGUCCAGGGGGAAGAACGCAAUGACGGUACCCCUGGAGGAAGCCCCGGCUAACUACGUGCCAGCAGCCGCGGUAAAACGUAGGGGGCGAGCGUUGUCCGGAAUUACUGGGCGUAAAGGGCGUGUAGGCGGCGAUACAAGUCGAAAGUGAAACCCGGCGGCUCAACUGCCGGCCUGCUUUUGAAACUGUAUAGCUUGAGUGCAGGAGAGGAGAGUGGAAUUCCCAGUGUAGCGGUGAAAUGCGUAGAUAUUGGGAGGAACACCAGUGGCGAAAGCGGCUCUCUGGCCUGUAACUGACGCUGAGGCGCGAAAGCGUGGGGAGCAAACAGGAUUAGAUACCCUGGUAGUCCACGCCGUAAACGAUGGGUGCUAGGUGUUGUGGGUAUCGACCCCUUCAGUGCCGCAGUUAACGCAAUAAU
RNAcentral lists this ribosomal RNA (910 nucleotides) under uncultured bacterium. RNAcentral's name for it is "bacterial SSU rRNA". It matches the Rfam family "Bacterial small subunit ribosomal RNA", at positions 28 to 864 of the family's 1533-position model. The record is from RNAcentral.